UGUGGUGGGUUAAUUAAGAGCUGAAUU
This 27-nucleotide non-coding RNA is filed under the name Rattus norvegicus (Norway rat). The record is from RNAcentral. Lineage: Eukaryota; Metazoa; Chordata; Mammalia; Rodentia; Muridae.